Unclassified non-coding RNA from Pongo abelii (Sumatran orangutan), 117 nucleotides. It matches the Rfam family "Metazoan signal recognition particle RNA". From Rfam's summary of the family: The signal recognition particle (SRP) is a universally conserved ribonucleoprotein. It is involved in the co-translational targeting of proteins to membranes. NCBI's taxonomy places the organism in Eukaryota, Metazoa, Chordata, Mammalia, Primates, Hominidae. The record is from Ensembl.
GCCGGGCAUGGUAGAUCAUGCCUGUAAUCCCAACAUUCUGGGAGGCUGAGGCGGGAGAAUCACCUGAGGCCAGGAGUUCGAGACCAGCCUGGCCAACAUGGUGAAACCCCGUCUCUA